This 253-nucleotide ribosomal RNA is filed under the name uncultured prokaryote. Its description in RNAcentral is "partial 16S ribosomal RNA". It matches the Rfam family "Bacterial small subunit ribosomal RNA", at positions 524 to 776 of the family's 1533-position model. The record is from RNAcentral.
UACAGAGGUCUCAAGCGUUGUUCGGAUUCAUUGGGCGUAAAGGGUGUGUAGGUGGCGCGUCAAGUCGGGUGUGAAAUUUCGGAGCUUAACUCCGAAACUGCAUUCGAUACUGGCGUGCUUGAGGACUGGAGAGGAGACUGGAAUUCAUGGUGUAGUAGUGAAAUGCGUAGAGAUCAUGAGGAAGACCAGUGGCGAAGGCGGGUCUCUGGACAGUUCCUGACACUGAGACACGAAGGCCAGGGGAGCAAACGGG